This 396-nucleotide ribosomal RNA is filed under the name uncultured bacterium. RNAcentral's name for it is "bacterial SSU rRNA". It matches the Rfam family "Bacterial small subunit ribosomal RNA", at positions 29 to 409 of the family's 1533-position model. The record is from RNAcentral.
AGCGAACGUUAGCGGCGCGCCUAACACAUGCAAGUCGCACGAGAAAGGGAGCAAUCCCCGGUACAGUGGCGCACGGGUGAGUAACACGUAGAUGACCUUCCCUGGAGUGGUGGAUAACCUGCCGAAAGGCGGGCUAAUACAGCAUGGGACCACAUGGUUUUGACCGAGUGGUGAAAGCGGGCCUCUGUUCACAAGCUCGCGCUCUGGGAUGGGUCUGCGGUCCCAUCGGCUAGUUGGUGACGGUAAUGGCUCACCAAGGCAUCGACGGGUAGCUGGUCUGAGAGGAUGACCAGCCACACUGGAACUGAGACACGGUCCAGACUCCUACGGGAGGCAGCAGUGGGGAAUCUUGCGCAAUGGGCGAAAGCCGUGACGCAGCGACGCCGCGUGGGUGAU